Molecule: ribosomal RNA, 414 nt
Filed under: uncultured microorganism
Description: bacterial SSU rRNA
Rfam family: Archaeal small subunit ribosomal RNA
Source: RNAcentral
GCGCAGCAGGCGAGAAACCUCCCCAAUGCCCGAAAGGGUGAGGGGGUCACCCCGAGUGCCACCCUCGUGGUGGCUUUUGCGGGGUCUAAAAAGCCCCGCGAAUAAGGGGAGGGCAAGACGGGUGUCAGCCGCCGCGGUAAUACCCGCUCCCCGAGUGGUGGGGACUAUUACUGGGCUUAAAGCGUCCGUAGCCGGCUGGGUGUGUCCCCCGUUAAAUCCACGGGCCUAACCCGUGGGCUGCGGGGGAUACUACCUGGCUUGGGGGUGGGAGAGGGCGGCGGUAUUCCCGGGGUAGGGGUAAAAUCCUCUGAUCCCCGGGGAGGACCACCAGUGGCGAAGGCGGCCGCCCAGAACACGCCCGACGGUGAGGGACGAAAGCUGGGGGAGCAAACGGGGAUUAGAUACCCGGGUAGU